This 55-nucleotide transfer RNA is filed under the name Dehalococcoidia bacterium. Its description in RNAcentral is "tRNA-Pro". It matches the Rfam family "tRNA", at positions 1 to 54 of the family's 71-position model. From Rfam's summary of the family: Transfer RNA (tRNA) molecules are approximately 80 nucleotides in length. Their secondary structure includes four short double-helical elements and three loops (D, anti-codon, and T loops). The record is from RNAcentral. Lineage: Bacteria; Bacillati; Chloroflexota; Dehalococcoidia.
CGGGGCGUGGCCCAGCGGCAGGGCGCCUGGUUUGGGACCAGGAGGUCGGCAGUUC